UCGAGGAUCUUCCGCAAUGGGCGCAAGCCUGACGGAGCGACGCCGCGUGUGCGAUGAAGGCCUUCGGGUUGUAAAGCACUGUCGAGGGGGAGAAAGCGUAAGUUGAUCGACCCCUGGGGGAAGCACGGGCUAAGUUCGUGCCAGCAGCCGCGGUAAGACGAACCGUGCGAACGUUGUUCGGAAUCACUGGGCUUAAAGGGCGCGUAGGCGGUCAGUCAAGUCAGAGGUGAAAGCUCCCAGCUCAACUGGGAAAGUGCCUUUGAUACUGGCUGGCUAGAGCGAGGUAGGGGCAUGUGGAACUUCCAGUGGAGCGGUGAAAUGCGUUGAUAUUGGAAGGAACGCCGGUGGCGAAAGCGACGUGCUGGACCUCUUCUGACGCUGAGGCGCGAAAGCUAGGGGAGCAAACGGGAUUAGAUACCCGCGUAGUCC
RNAcentral lists this ribosomal RNA (429 nucleotides) under uncultured prokaryote. RNAcentral's name for it is "bacterial SSU rRNA". It matches the Rfam family "Bacterial small subunit ribosomal RNA", at positions 355 to 796 of the family's 1533-position model. The record is from RNAcentral.